ACUGGACUUGGAUCAGAAGGC
Molecule: microRNA, 21 nt
Filed under: Pongo pygmaeus (Bornean orangutan)
Lineage: Eukaryota; Metazoa; Chordata; Mammalia; Primates; Hominidae
Description: ppy-miR-378a
Gene: ppy-miR-378a
Source: miRBase by way of RNAcentral